Molecule: ribosomal RNA, 627 nt
Filed under: uncultured archaeon
Lineage: Archaea
Description: bacterial SSU rRNA
Rfam family: Archaeal small subunit ribosomal RNA
Source: RNAcentral
CUAUCGGGGUUUGAUUAGCCAUGCGAGUCGAGAGGGUUUUGGCCCUCGGCGAACUGCUCAGUAACACGUGGAUAAUCUACCCUGGGGAGGAGGAUACUCCCGGGAAACUGGGGUUAAUACUCCAUAGCAAUGAUGCACUGGAAUGUCAUCGUUGCGAAAGAUCCGUCGCCCCAGGAUGAGUCUGCGUCCGAUUAGGUAGUUGUUGGGGUUACUGCCCAACAAGCCGAUAAUCGGUACGGGUUGUGGGAGCAAGAGCCCGGAGAUGGAUUCUGAGACACGAAUCCAGGCCCUACGGGGCGCAGCAGGCGCGAAACCUUUACAAUGCGGGCAACCGUGAUAAGGAAACCCCGAGUGCCCGUAAGAGCGGGCUGUCCAUCUGUUUAACCAGCAGGUGAAGAAAGGGCCGGGCAAGACCGGUGCCAGCCGCCGCGGUAAUACCGGCGGCUCGAGUGGUGGCCACUAUUACUGGGCUUAAAGGGUCUGUAGCCGGCCAGGUAAGUCCCUUGGGAAAUCUGGCAGCUCAACUGUCAGGCUGCUAGGGGAUACUGUUUGGCUUGGGACCGGGAGAGGUGAGAGGUACCUUGGGGGUAGGGGUGAAAUCUUGUGAUCCUCGAGGGACCACCAGUG